UUUCUUCCGAAAACAAGCUCAAUGAGAGCCAUCGGGGGUAGAUCUAUCUCAUGACGAGUGGUGGAAUACUUUGACUCAUGAGAGAGAAGCUGAGGCGAAGGCGUCUACCUAGAGGGUUUCUGUCGAUCAAGGGCGAGAGUAGGAGUAUCCAACAGGAUUAGAGACCCUGGUAGUUCCUACCUUAAACGAUGCCGACAGGAGUUUGUCAUUUGUUAAUGGCAGAAUCUUUGGAGAAAUCAUAGUUCUUGGGCUCUGGGGGAACUACGACCGCAAGGCUGAAACUUGAAGGAAUUGACGGAAGGGCACACCAGGGGUGGAGCCUGUGGCUUAAUUUGAAUCAACACGGGGAAACUUACCAGGACCAGAUGUUUUUUAUGACUGACAGGCUUCGGGUCUUUCAGGAUAUUGUUUUUGGUGGUGCAUGGCCGUUGGUGGUGCGUGGGUUGACCUGUCUAGCGUUGAUUCAGCUAACGAGCGAGAUUAUCGCCAAUUAUUUACUUUGCCGAAGUCCUUCGGUUAAAGUUCUAAUUGGGACUCCCUGCGAUUUUAGCAGGUGGAAGAGGGUAGCAAUAACAGGUCCGUGAUGCCCUUUAGAUGCUCUGGGCUGCACGCGUGCUACAAUGUUAGGAUCAAUAGGACUGCGAGCCUGAGAGGGUGCGCUACUCUUAUAAUCCCUAACGUAGUUGGGAUUGACGUUUGUAAUCAGCGUCAUGAACCAGGAAUCCCUUGUAAAUGUGUGUCAACAACGCACGUUGAAUACGUCCCUGCCCUUUGUACACACCGCCCGUCGCUCCUACCGAUUGGAUGACUCGGUGAAAUCACCGGAUGCUUACGAGCAGAAAGUGAUUAAAUCACGUUAUCUAGAGGAAGGAGAAGUCGUAACAAGGUAACGGUAGGUGAACCUGCCGUGGAUC
This 914-nucleotide ribosomal RNA is filed under the name Trichomonas vaginalis G3. Its description in RNAcentral is "16S ribosomal RNA". It matches the Rfam family "Eukaryotic small subunit ribosomal RNA", at positions 851 to 1827 of the family's 1831-position model. The record is from RNAcentral. Lineage: Eukaryota; Parabasalia; Trichomonadida; Trichomonadidae.